RNAcentral lists this non-coding RNA (22 nucleotides) under Mus musculus (house mouse). Lineage: Eukaryota; Metazoa; Chordata; Mammalia; Rodentia; Muridae. The record is from RNAcentral.
UGCUAUACUGCCUGGGCAGAGG